GCCUCCGCCAGCCCGCCCCGCUGAGCCCCAGCACUCCUCGCAGACCCGGCUCCUGCGGCCGCGGCCCGGCCCCCGGGUUCUGCUGGUACCCGGCCCUGCGUGUCGGGCGGAACCGGUGACCAAAGUGGCGCAGCGUCUGGGCCCUGCGCCCGCAGGUUAACGCUUAACCACGCUCCGGAGCCUGAGGCUCAGCCGCGCCCUCGGCCCCCAACCUUUGGCCCGGGUGGCCCAAGGGCGGCGUGGAGGGUGAAGGAGGACCCUGACUUCCUCCAGGGUGAGGGAGAGGGGAGCAAGGAUGUGUCCAACUUCUGCCCCGACGCAGCCAGUGCAUGUGGCUGUCACAGGCUGGGAAAGCAGGCAGAGAGGUCAGCAGUUGAGUUUGCCGCAGGGGUGGAGAGCUGAGUACACGCAGGUGCCUUCAGCUCAGACGCUUCACCUGCCCGUGAUCCUGUGGCCUGGAGGUGCCAUUCCUGCCUGUCAGACGUGUGGACACUGAAGGUUUUGAUGAGAGAUGGGGAAGGGAGGACGCACCCGGUGCUGGCGGGAGUGUGGCAAACGCUCCCAGGCUUUUACUGGGAGGACCGGGGCGUUUGCUGCUAGUGGAAGGAGGAGGCUUGGUGCUGGCAGAUAGCCACGGACACAACCGGGACACAGCGCCCACUCUUCCUCCCCUGUCUGUGCUGGCCUUGCGCACCUCUGCUGGUGACCAGAAGCCACAGGUCAGCUGCAGCCAGGAGCUGGGGCAUCUGGGGGUGAGGACAAGCAGCACUUCCCUAGGAGCAGGCCUGGAGCGGGCCGACUCCUCGCACUUUGAAAGUGUCCUCUGCAUGGCUACCCAGGUCUCUGCAGGCCUGUCCUGCCCAGGGAGGGCAGGGGUCACCUGCAGCGCCUGUGACCCCUCCUGGGACAGUCCCCAGUGGGGUUGGUCUUUCUCUGCAGGCCACCGGCCCAGGCAGCCGUGGCAGGACAGGGCUCAGGGAGGGAAGCUGGCCUGGGCAGGGGCCAACCUUCAGGCCUCUCUUGCCCAGCAGAGGCACGAGGGGGGGGGGGCUGGCUGCUCUCCCAGCCUGGCUUGCUGCCCUCCCUGAGACCCAGGACUCGGCCCUCCUGCCAAGAUAAUUAUCCACAAACGGCAGGAGGGCCCAGGCCCUUGAGGGCACUGCCUGCCUGCAUUGUGUCCGCAGCUAAUUAGCGCCCAGCUGAGACCCAGGGCAGCCGGCUGGCCAGGGCGGCGGGGUGCCCUGCUCUGGGGUGCUGCGCUCACCCCUUCCAGGCCUGCCGGGGGAGCAGCGGGGGACAGCUGAAAGGCUCCUGGGCUGUGUCACCGCACCCCUCUCUGAGCCUCCUCUGAAGGGCAGCGUCUGCCUGCAGGGCUCACCCUGAGACUCGGCCGGAACCGCAGAAGGCAGAGUGUCCUUCCCCGGUGCCCACCCCCAUGCUCCCCACACUCACGCCCCGAGCUCGGUGGCCCCCAGUGCUCCCUGCCUCACGUACCCCAAUGGGUAGAUAAUCCGAUGAGAAGAGACUUAUGGAGUCCCCCUCUCUGCCUGGGUGGGAAUCCUCUCCCUGCGGGUCCACUGGGGAAAGGGGUCUUGCUCUGCUGCGGAUCACCAUCCCGCUUCUCACCUGGGACCUGCUCUCAAGGCCACCUGCCUCGAAGCCUUUCCUUGCUCCUUCCCACAGAGCCAGGCCUCUCAGUCACCUCUGGAGAGCUCCUGGUCCCGUGGUGGCCUGAGUGUGUAACUGGCGUUCAGCUGAGGAGACGUGAGAGGAAGUCUUCUGUCGCAGGGAGGUGUGGGUGUGAGAGAGGGUGGCUCUAGAAGUGCUGUUCCCACCAUGAGGAAGUUGUGUGAAUGAAGACAGUCUGCCCUGCACUUAUGGCCUUUGCUGGGUGAGGACGUGAUGCCUGGAGCCGCAGCAGCCCUCUUGUGACCACAGGAAGUCAGGAGCAGAGCGGAGAAGCCGAUCCCGGUCCCUGCUGCAGAGACCUGAGCCCAGCACAGACAAACUCCCUACUCUGGUUAAGUGAAACAAAAAGCCCUCAGUGUAGUUUAAGCUACUUUGGGUAGCAUGUUCUGUUAAUUGCAGCUGAAACGUCCAUUUAGCACCAUAGGGUCUGAUCAACUUUCUCCAAAUUCUGUUCCUUGGAAUAGUGGUAAUAAAUGUUUCUUUUAAAAGCC
This is a non-coding RNA of Microcebus murinus (gray mouse lemur), 2180 nucleotides long. NCBI's taxonomy places the organism in Eukaryota, Metazoa, Chordata, Mammalia, Primates, Cheirogaleidae. The record is from RefSeq and is a predicted model, not a curated record.